UCCCAAGUGGCACAGUGGUAGAGAAUCUGCAUGCCAAGCAGGGGACUCAGGUUCAACCCCUGAGUUGGGAA
This is a transfer RNA of Ovis aries (sheep), 71 nucleotides long. It matches the Rfam family "tRNA". From Rfam's summary of the family: Transfer RNA (tRNA) molecules are approximately 80 nucleotides in length. Lineage: Eukaryota; Metazoa; Chordata; Mammalia; Artiodactyla; Bovidae. The record is from Rfam.